Molecule: long non-coding RNA, 194 nt
Organism: Sinocyclocheilus rhinocerous
Lineage: Eukaryota; Metazoa; Chordata; Actinopteri; Cypriniformes; Cyprinidae
Exons: 3
Source: RefSeq, a predicted model, not a curated record
CCUCCUGGGUGAAGAUCAGUGGAUCAGGUGGAUGUUUGGCACAACCCGACCAAUGAAGCAGGAGAUUUUGAGCAGCAAGAGGAAAACUCUGAAGUUGUUUCAGCAGGACACUUUCAAGAUGAUGGUUGAUACAAAAUACAGAAGCAAUCAAAAGACCAAGUUUUGAUAUUUGACACCAAGUGGCAACCCAACAU